RNAcentral lists this non-coding RNA (86 nucleotides) under chicken gut metagenome. RNAcentral describes it as "Glycine riboswitch". It matches the Rfam family "Glycine riboswitch aptamer", at positions 8 to 87 of the family's 94-position model. From Rfam's summary of the family: This family represents the bacterial glycine riboswitch. Glycine riboswitches usually consist of two metabolite-binding aptamers domains with similar structures in tandem. The record is from RNAcentral.
GACUCUGGAGAGUUCCAAGAAAGUUGGACGCCGAAGGUGUAACACAGGCAAAAGCCUGUCUAUCUCUCAGGCAAACGGACAGGGUG